GUGGAGGUCAGAGGUCAACCUCUGUGGGGGGUUAAGUGGGUGGGGUCGGUCAGUUCUCUCCCUCCACCCCGGAGGUUCCAGGCAUCAAACUCAGGUCACCAGGCUUGUCCGCAAGCAGUUUUAUCUGCUGAGCUACGUCCGGCUCUGAAACAUUAGAAGAGUUUAAUCGGGAAAGGGGGCCUUGCAGGCAUAAUUGUUAAAGAUCUUGGGAUAAAGAUCAUUGAUUAGUGUGGCUUCUUAAUCCAAUGACCCCUGUCCUUGUCAGAGAUCUGAAGGACGAGAGAGGUACAAGAGGAGAAGGUUAGACCCCUGCAGCCACCAGGGAGGACAGAACCCACUGGAGUAAGGCAGAGAGGCGUUCCGGGAGCCUUUGGGAGGAUUGAAUCCGUAGACGAAUCAAUGAUGCUCUUCUUAUCUCGAGCUCCUUGCGGGUGCUGGCUAUGUCUGCUUGCUGACACCUUCAUUGCAGUCUUCCACCCUCCAACACAGUAGCAAGAUACCGUGUGGCGUUGCAAGGUGUCCUACCGGCAGUGAGGCAGUGAUUCGUUUGCAAGCAGCCCAGGAGGCUAAUUCACCCUUGACCUACCCACGCGGGAAUGUAACAACCUGCAGCUGAGCCACGGGAGUUCUGAGGAGAGGGAAGGUUCUUUAACAUUUGCCCUUGGGGCUGUUUGGGUUAGACACCAUUAAGGCCUUCUGCUCGGAGCUGGGAGAGCUGAGAUAAGUAGUUCUAUCUCUCUGAGCCUUGGCUCCUCCAUGUGCAAGAGCAGAGACCGCCCACCACCUCCCAUGCCCCGCCUACCUCCCCCACCUCCACCCCCAUCCCACAAGGGAGAUAGCGGGAUGCUCCGAGACCAUCUGCCAUCCCAGGAAUGCAGAGUUAAGCUUAAGAUUCAGUCCAGUCCCUUCCUGCCUUCCUAUCACAGCAAGCUGCUGCGUGUGGUUGGGGCCGUUUAUGGGGAUCUGAGAAGCUAAAUGGCCAGCGGUCUGUUGAACUGUGGCUGUGUCUUUUUUAGCACUGGGCUUUUUUGGAUAAAGCAAAGGCCCAGAGGGUGACUAGAUGGCUCCGUGGAUAAAGCACUUGCUCCACAAGCAAAAGGACCCGAGUUCAAUUCCCAGCAUCCAUGAAGAGAAAGUUGGGCGUUGCUGAAAUCCCAGCACUGAGAAGGCGCCUACAGGAACGACCACCUGCUCUGCAAAUCUGCCUCGUUGUUCCUCGAGAGGCUGUUGGCGACAGAAAGCCUGAAGAAUCAGCCUGGGGCUCCCAAGCGUGGUGCUUGGCCUGGAUGAAAGUGCCUAGAAGUGCUGACUCUCAAGCCAGCAGUAAGGACCUUGUGGUCGUUCCUUCUUCCUGUGUGUCUUUGCUCAGAACACUGCCUCGAUGACCUUCCUACUAACCACCGUCCCCUCUCCCCCAGAAAGGGCACAUCCCUUCCACUCAGUUAAAAGGAUUUUUUUCCCCCAAAGAGCCCAGGUCAUAUUUCAAACCGCCUCGCCAAACUGCUCUGUCCCAGGAGCCAGUGAAAGGGGGGCCUUGAACACCGUAUUUAUUUUGACUGGUUAAACAGGCUACGGCUGUAAAGGAAACAGCUCUCAGAAACGAGACCGCCUGGCCGACUCGGGGGCUCACUCUUUCUACCCACACACACAUACUGUUUAAAGCAUUCCAGAAACCCUGCCAACUUUCCUGGCACAGCUCGUAUUUCUUUACAUGCACGUUGCAUUCCGUCUGGUUAAUGUGCACUGUGCGCCAUUCUUGGAUCCUGGCGAGGCCUAGCAAGGUGGCAUGGUGUGCUCAGGCUUGCUCUAUGCAAAGCAGGGUAUCAGGAGGGGCGGAGCUUCGGAGGGACGGAGGCGUGGCGGGGGGCGGGGCUCUACCUCCCUUAGACCCAGGGGUGCCUGGAGUCCCAAAGUACCCAACUCUCUCCAGAUGUGACUGAAGCACUUCCUUUGUUUUUCUCUUUCGUUGGUGUUGGGGAUCAAAACCAGGACUCUGCACACUAUAGGCUACACUGCACUAUACACCGAGCCCCGCACCCAGCCCUUCGGCUUCAGCAAAAUCACAAGUGAGUCGUCCUUGCCCGCCCAGAGAGUUUGGGGAAUUACAGCUGCUCUGCCGCUUCUGGUACACGGCCAGGAAAAAACACAAGGAAGUGUGUGAGGCUAACAUUAGGAAGCCGCGGUACUGUUUUCGAAUGUGAGUUGGGUCCAGAGCCAUCCCAAAGUCCGGGAUGCCAACACCUAGGUCUGAUGGUUUCUGACACCUAGAGAAAGGCCCGUCUCCAUGUCCUUCUCCAGAGCCACUGAGGAUGUGCUGUGAUUUGGAUCCAACAUAAUAAUGCAUGUGGAAGCCAGGAAAGCCAGGUUUUAGGCAGUCUCAGAACAUCUGGUGAAUUCAGCUUGGGAAAAAAAAAAAAAAAAAAACGGGCAAAGGGAGAGAGGACAGAGCCCUCUGGAAGCAGUUGCCAGGUACUGGGUAUCCAAAAACAUUGUACGGGUUGACCCAAGUGUUCUCGCUUCCCUCCUCCCUAGUUAGUGGAAUGGAACCCAUGAGAUUGGCGAUGUUAGAAAUUCAGAGGAGAAAAAUGGCUCUUGGCACCAUUGGCAAACACAUGGAGGUCUAUGCCUGGACGACGAGGGGAACGCACGUCUCUCGGAGUUCCCGCCUGCGGUGCGAAUAGAAUGUUCCCGUUCAGAAGUGGAACUACUCACCUGGAUCCGACGCGGGUGACAUGGCACCCGGAGGCUUUAAAAAAAAAAUCUCGGUCCCUAAUGAGAAACAGCCGCGUGCGGAAUAAAAUUAGUGUGCGUUGUGUAAUCCCAGCUGGCCAGUUGCAAGAACGGGGAGGAGGCAGGCGCUGAGGGAACAGGCCCUGGAGCCCAUCCUGACCCUCUGGGUUGGAAUUUCUGAGUCUCUUCUUUGCCUUGAGUCAAAAUAGGAAACCGAACCCUGACCGCGUGCUUCUUUUUAUAGAAUCGAACUUUCUUGCCAGCUUCCUUCGGAGCGCAAGAUCGUCCCUCUUGGUCUCUAAACAAUACGCCAAUCAUCAGAUGUGAGUGAGGAGAGGGGAGGAGGGAGUUAGUGUUCUGGGAGCACCAGACAUAACCCAGGCCCAGGGCCCAAGACAAACACCGAGCCCCGAGUUUGGCUUCCGUACCAGACCUGGUAAAUACAACAUGUUUUUACAGGUUGGGAAA
This 3198-nucleotide small RNA is filed under the name Rattus norvegicus (Norway rat). Its description in RNAcentral is "uncharacterized LOC102552995". Lineage: Eukaryota; Metazoa; Chordata; Mammalia; Rodentia; Muridae. The record is from RNAcentral.